CCGACCAGAGCACGUAGUCCCGGGGCUGCGGGUCGGACCGGCGGCCGGGGGCGGCCGCCCCCCACCCGGAGGAUUGCAGUGGGAUGGACACGUCCGCCUGCCUGGGCUCCAUGGCCGGGAAUGAAGAUACGGGGAAACAUCAGAUAAGGAGCUAUCUGUGGAUGGGAACGUUUUCCAUGGCACCUCCUGGUCAGGACAAAGUAACGCCCUGUCACCACAAACAUCGUGCUGAAGGUUUUUUUUCUCCUCCCGAGUUUCGCCGACAGGUGGGCUCCGGGGAGCUGUCCAUGGCAGCCUGGACUGGUCACAGGCAGGAAGGAGGGAGGCUUUGCCGGUGAUUGUUUUGGGCUGGGAAAGGGUCAGUUUUUUCCGUAUUGGCUUGUGUGGGGCUGCCCUUUGCAUUUUUCCUGGAAACUUGAUAAAACCGGGAGAAGGAGUAAGGGGAUCUUGGAGCAAUGGCCUUUGUUGGCCUGAGUUCCCAUUGGAUGUGCUGGGUUUGGGCAGGCCAAGCCUGGGGCCGGCCAGGCAGCAGAUUCCAUGGAGGAGGAGCCCGUGCAGCGAGAAGCCCGUGUUUUACAGGAAAAAAGCAGAGCAGAAAAUGAUUCACCAGAGGCUCAUUGCCAGAAAUCCUGCAACAAAUAACCAGUGUGUUUGUGAGUGGGAUUUCUGACAUCUUACAAGUGUAGUGUCUUGCCAGGACGAUGUUCAUGGGGAGAGAAAAAGCCACGGUUUUGUUCCCAUUCUUGUGGGGCCCCAGCCCCGAGGACUGGGCCCUGCCGAGGGUUAGUGCAGAGGGGAAGGGGGAAGCCAGGCCAGCUGCAGAACUGAGGCUUUGCCAGAUGGGCUGGGGCCAGGAUCUUCCAUGUCCCCGCCGGGAUCGCUCCUGGCUCUGCCGGGGCCGGGCAGGGAGUGGCAGCCCCGAGGCGGAGGAUCGGUCCUGCCACUCCUUCCAGCGGGUGACAGGUACCACUGGGGCUUGGUGUGGCUUUCUGCAGCCAGAGUUCCCUCCCCCGUGGGAUGGGGGAGAGAAUCCAGAGCAGAAAUAUGAGGAAACUGCUGGGCUGGGAUGUGUUUGAUAACAAAAGUAACAGCUGCGCGUACCAGCAGAGCGAGACGCGGAAUGCAGUCCCGGUACUUUCUGGCAGCUGUGCCCAGGAAAAUCGGGUUCUAACUGGGAUGGGGGCUGUGAGGAUCCCACAGCAGGAUCCCAGCUCACCUGGCUGCAGGGGGAGAUGUGGAAUCCAGCCCUGCUGGGGCAAUGGGGAAUGGAGCCACAGAACCCACUGGCCCCUUCCCUCUGGGAGCCUCUCCAGCGCUGCUGACCCUGCUCAAUCCCAUUCCAGCUCAUCCUGCUCAAGCCCUUUGCACAUCCCGCCCCACCAAAACCACCUUGCCCUCAGCUCUGCUUGCUGCCGACCCUUCCUGAGGGCUGCUGAGGAUGGGGGUGCUCCUGGUGACAUCCCAGCAAGGAUCACAUUCCACCCUCAUCCUCACCAUGACCUUAUCCAGGUUCAUGAUGUCUGAGGUGGCCCCUGAGCAUUGUUUCUGUGAUGAGGGGCAGUUUCCACUGCCUUGAGGCACAUUCCACGUGCUGACAUUGUUUCCCAUCCUGUCAAGCUGCUGUAGAACAAACCUCAAACCACAUCCUCCAUUAUAUGAAACCAAGACAGGGCAAAAGUGGAAAAAAAACUUUAUUUUCAGGGUUUCUCUGAGCCGGGUGCCCCUUCUCAGAAUUGUUUUGAGGCAGCUGGGGUUCCAUUCCCAGAGCAAAGCAGCAAGCAGGCCCUGGCAGGGUUGGGGGUGCUCAGCUGUUCUGGGGAGCAGAGUCCACUUCAGGACACCUCCAGUGAGGGCAGCCAUCAGCAAGGGCUCCAUAAAAGCUCCGAGUGGGGAGGGAAGAGGGGCAGGGAGGGAAGAGGGGCAGGACAGACAGCAGCAGCUGCCGGGUGAGGCACAUGGAUUGUCAUUUUGCAGUUUCGGUGCAGGAGGGCACUCCCCAGGCAUGCCCGGCUCCAACCCCGGGCGGGGAGGGAAGCAGAGCCCGUGGGGCAAGGAUGGCACUAAGGGCGGCCAUUACCCUUACGGCUGUCGGUAGGCUCUGAAGAUGCUGGGGAGGAC
Molecule: long non-coding RNA, 2118 nt
Organism: Taeniopygia guttata (zebra finch)
Lineage: Eukaryota; Metazoa; Chordata; Aves; Passeriformes; Estrildidae
Source: RefSeq, a predicted model, not a curated record